UUACACAUGCAAGUCGAACGNUGAACCUCACUUGUGGGGGGAUUAGUGGCGAACGGGUGAGUAACACGUGAGUAACCUGCCCUUAACUCUGGGAUAAGCCUGGGAAACUGGGUCUAAUACCGGAUAUGACUCCUCAUCGCAUGGUGGGGGGUGGAAAGCUUUAUUGUGGUUUUGGAUGGACUCGCGGCCUAUCAGCUUGUUGGUGAGGUAAUGGCUCACCAAGGCGACGACGGGUAGCCGGCCUGAGAGGGUGACCGGCCACACUGGGACUGAGACACGGCCCAGACUCCUACGGGAGGCAGCAGUGGGGAAUAUUGCACAAUGGGCGAAAGCCUGAUGCAGCGACGCCGCGUGAGGGAUGACGGCCUUCGGGUUGUAAACCUUUUUCAGUAGGGAAGAAGCGAAAGUGACGGUACCUGCAGAAGAAGCGCCGGCUAACUACGUGCCAGCAGCCGCGGUAAUACGUAGGGCGCAAGCGUUAUCCGGAAUUAUUGGGCGUAAAGAGCUCGUAGGCGGUUUGUCGCGUCUGCCGUGAAAGUCCGGGGCUCAACUCCGGAUCUGCGGUGGGUACGGGCAGACUAGAGUGAUGUAGGGGAGACUGGAAUUCNCUGGUGUAGCGGUGAAAUGCGCAGAUAUCAGGAGGAACNNNNNUGGCGAAGGCAGGUCUCUGGGCAUUAACUGACGCUGAGGAGCGAAAGCAUGGGGAGCGAACAGGAUUAG
RNAcentral lists this ribosomal RNA (720 nucleotides) under bacterium EJ10-25. RNAcentral's name for it is "bacterial SSU rRNA". It matches the Rfam family "Bacterial small subunit ribosomal RNA", at positions 49 to 781 of the family's 1533-position model. The record is from RNAcentral.